UUGAACGCUAGCGGCAUGCUUAACACAUGCAAGUCGAACGGUAACAGCGAGAGCUUGCUCUCGGCUGACGAGUGGCGGACGGGUGAGUAAUGCUUAGGAAUCUGCCCAGUAGCGGGGGACAACUCGGGGAAACUCGAGCUAAUACCGCAUACGCCCUACGGGGGAAAGCAGGGGAUCUUCGGACCUUGCACUAUUGGAUGAGCCUAAGUCAGAUUAGCUUGUUGGUGGGGUAACGGCCUACCAAGGCGACGAUCUGUAGCUGGUCUGAGAGGACGAUCAGCCACACUGGAACUGAGACACGGUCCAGACUCCUACGGGAGGCAGCAGUGGGGAAUAUUGCACAAUGGGCGCAAGCCUGAUGCAGCAAUGCCGCGUGUGUGAAGAAGGCCUGCGGGUUGUAAAGCACUUUCAGUAAGGAGGAAAAGUUGUAGGUUAAUACCCUGCAGCCUUGACGUUACUUACAGAAGAAGCACCGGCUAACUCCGUGCCAGCAGCCGCGGUAAUACGGAGGGUGCGAGCGUUAAUCGGAAUUACUGGGCGUAAAGCGUGCGUAGGCGGCAUGGUCAGUCGGAUGUGAAAGCCCCGGGCUUAACCUGGGAAUUGCAUUCGAUACUGCCAAGCUAGAGUAUGUUAGAGGAAAGUGGAAUUCCCGGUGUAGCGGUGAAAUGCGUAGAUAUCGGGAGGAACAUCAGUGGCGAAGGCGACUUUCUGGAUCAAUACUGACGCUGAGGUACGAAAGCGUGGGGAGCAAACAGGAUUAGAUACCCUGGUAGUCCACGCCCUAAACGAUGUCAACUAGCCGUUGGAGGAAUUUAA
RNAcentral lists this ribosomal RNA (816 nucleotides) under uncultured bacterium. RNAcentral's name for it is "bacterial SSU rRNA". It matches the Rfam family "Bacterial small subunit ribosomal RNA", at positions 29 to 836 of the family's 1533-position model. The record is from RNAcentral.